ACGCUCGACACCUACGGGAGCAGCAGUGGGGAAUAUUGCACAAUGGGGGAAACCCUGAUGCAGCGACGCCGCGUGGAGGAAGAAGGUCUUCGGAUUGUAAACUCCUGUUGUUGGGGAAAAAGAGGAUGGUACCCAACAAGGAAGUGACGGCUAACUACGUGCCAGCACGCGUAGUCGUAUCGUGGCGUCGGGCUAGGCAGC
RNAcentral lists this ribosomal RNA (201 nucleotides) under uncultured bacterium. RNAcentral describes it as "partial 16S ribosomal RNA". It matches the Rfam family "Bacterial small subunit ribosomal RNA", at positions 328 to 539 of the family's 1533-position model. The record is from RNAcentral.